Molecule: ribosomal RNA, 682 nt
Filed under: uncultured Sphingobium sp.
Lineage: Bacteria; Pseudomonadati; Pseudomonadota; Alphaproteobacteria; Sphingomonadales; Sphingobiaceae
Description: bacterial SSU rRNA
Rfam family: Bacterial small subunit ribosomal RNA
Source: RNAcentral
GCCUAAUAAUGCAAGUCGAACGAGAUCUUCGGAUCUAGUGGCGCACGGGUGCGUAACGCGUGGGAAUCUGCCCUUGGGUUCGGAAUAACGUCGGGAAACUGACGCUAAUACCGGAUGAUGACGAAAGUCCAAAGAUUUAUCGCCCAGGGAUGAGCCCGCGUAGGAUUAGCUAGUUGGUGAGGUAAAGGCUCACCAAGGCUACGAUCCUUAGCUGGUCUGAGAGGAUGAUCAGCCACACUGGGACUGAGACACGGCCCAGACUCCUACGGGAGGCAGCAGUAGGGAAUAUUGGACAAUGGGGGCAACCCUGAUCCAGCAAUGCCGCGUGAGUGAUGAAGGCCUUAGGGUUGUAAAGCUCUUUUACCCGAGAUGAUAAUGACAGUAUCGGGAGAAUAAGCUCCGGCUAACUCCGUGCCAGCAGCCGCGGUAAUACGGAGGGAGCUAGCGUUGUUCGGAAUUACUGGGCGUAAAGCGCACGUAGGCGGCGAUUUAAGUCAGAGGUGAAAGCCCGGGGCUCAACCCCGGAACUGCCUUUGAGACUGGAUUGCUUGAAUCCUGGAGAGGUGAGUGGAAUUCCGAGUGUAGAGGUGAAAUUCGUAGAUAUUCGGAAGAACACCAGUGGCGAAGGCGGCUCACUGGACAGGUAUUGACGCUGAGGUGCGAAAGCGUGGGGAGCAAACAG